CUGUGGUGCAAUUGUUAAGCACUUGGCUGUUAACCAAAAGGUUGGUGGUUUGAACCCACCUAG
This is a transfer RNA of Loxodonta africana (African savanna elephant), 63 nucleotides long. It matches the Rfam family "tRNA", at positions 5 to 66 of the family's 71-position model. Rfam says of the family: Transfer RNA (tRNA) molecules are approximately 80 nucleotides in length. The record is from Rfam. Lineage: Eukaryota; Metazoa; Chordata; Mammalia; Proboscidea; Elephantidae.